GGGACUUCAUCUAGCAACCAGCGAAUCAUCCCUUACCAAAGAUGUGUUUCAGAUUUACCAUCCCGAGGUGGGGGGAAGUUAAAAGAGGAUCUCUCAUUGCCCGGGAUGGCACUGAGUUUGCCAAGCAGCUGAAGAAGACCUUGAAGGCUGGAACCCAUUGUCUCUACCUCUAGGGUGCUGUGAUUACAGGUGCUUGACUUGGAUCUUAGAUGUUCCCAGGAAACGUG
Molecule: long non-coding RNA, 227 nt
Organism: Mesocricetus auratus (golden hamster)
Lineage: Eukaryota; Metazoa; Chordata; Mammalia; Rodentia; Cricetidae
Exons: 2
Source: RefSeq, a predicted model, not a curated record